This 29-nucleotide non-coding RNA is filed under the name Mus musculus (house mouse). Lineage: Eukaryota; Metazoa; Chordata; Mammalia; Rodentia; Muridae. The record is from RNAcentral.
UUGUCAGUAAAUAAGGAGGCACGUUGUUU